This 1569-nucleotide long non-coding RNA is filed under the name Mytilus galloprovincialis (Mediterranean mussel). Lineage: Eukaryota; Metazoa; Mollusca; Bivalvia; Mytilida; Mytilidae. The record is from RNAcentral.
AGUGUACAUUGUAUAUAAUAGUGCUGUAUAUAUAUAAAAAUAUAUAUCAGAAAUACGCAAAUCACAAAUUGAAAUUUUGAUACCAAUUAUAUUGCUGAGAACUUCAUUAAAACAAUAUUUUUUUUUUACUUGUAUCAAGUCAUUUUUGUCUAUUUGUCUAUUGACAUUUUUAUUUUAUCAUGAAAGAAGGAAAUUUUUAUAUGUAUGUUCUGAUUUUCAUAAAGGUUGUUUUAUUUGAUUUUACUUUACAGAAUUUUAUUUUUCCAUGUAAAUACUCAAAUGAGUAUUUUCCUUUUGUGAAUACUAAAAUGAUUAUUUCCGUUUUGAAUAAUUAAGUAUUUUGAAAGUUUCUGAUCCUUGUCUAGUUAUCAGACAUACAUUUAUUUAAAAUGAAAAAAAAAAAAACAAAAAAACGUAAGAAUUGAAUCACACAAUUUGAGCAAGAGAGACUUGUUUAAAAUGAAAAUAGCAAUGGAGCUUUAUUUUGUAACAGUGAAUACCUCUUGGUAUUUGAUGUUGCUAUCUUAAUUUAAACUUAUACAUUGAUUCCGAAGGUGAAAUGAAAGUUAACCAGGAAAAACAUUUCCAAAACAUCUGUUUUUAGGCUGUUAAAAAAAGAUCAGUCAAAUGUCAGACUUGUUUCACUUAUACUGAAACCAAUGCAAAUAUUUAAUAUGGCAAAAUGAUUUGUCUUGAUAAAUUUACUGUUUAAUGGUACUUGAAGUGAAAAAAAGGGUUGGAAUGAGUUAAGUGGAUAUAAAUAAAUAUGGUGAGAGUGUUCCUUCGAAAUCCAGGGUAAAACUUUGCUCAUUAGAUUUGUUUCAUUUUUGUGAAGGUGAAUUCACACAUUCCAGAUGAAUAUAUGGUUAAUGCCUUAAAAUUCACAGUAAUUGAAAUACAUAAUUUCUUAAGUUUAAUGAUAAAGUUGUUUUAAAAAUGUUUUAAAUAAAGAAACUACAGGAUUUUGGUCUGUCACUUCAUAACAGUGCUGAUUGUGAAAUGAGUGCUUGUGACUGCAUACAGAUGGAAAAUAUUUUUCAAAUGGCAUAGGUGUUUGUAAUUUUAAAUUUCUAUAAAGACUUUAUUGUUUAAAUGGCUGUUCAAAAAAGACAUUUAUAUUUUUGAUUAAAAAACAAUUAAAUUUUGUGAAAGGUCAACUUAAAAAAAAAAUUGAAUUUUUAGCUUAUUCUUCUUGAACAUAUUCUAAAAGAAAUGGCAUUUAUGUUCUCAACAUGAAAGAAGAAAUAACUGAUCAGUGCUGGAAAUGCAAGUCUAUAAAAUUCUUGCACACUUAUUUCAUUUUGUAUUGAAAAAUUUUGAGUAAUUAUUUAGAAAAAACAUGACAACUUCAUGUUUUAAACUAGUGUUAUGUCAAAUGUUUAAAAUUCAAAACAUAUUUUCACAAACUUUAAGUAUGUAACAUACUAUAUCAUUUAAUUCACAUUACAUUUGAGGAAACAAGGUUGUGUUUAUUUUGUUUAUGCAGUUGUAGUGAAGAAGUAUUAGCAAUAUAAAACUACACAUGUUCUCGUACUGUUGAUCAAUUUUAAUAAAAUAUGUCAAAAUAUA